This 1426-nucleotide long non-coding RNA is filed under the name Lupinus mutabilis. RNAcentral's name for it is "partial ncRNA". Lineage: Eukaryota; Viridiplantae; Streptophyta; Magnoliopsida; Fabales; Fabaceae. The record is from RNAcentral.
AUAUAGUCGUUUUGCGUAAUCGAAUACACUUUUUCUCUCUUCUUCUCACCAUGGACUGUUUCUCAAUUGUCUUCAUCUCCUUCAUGAUUCUUCACCAUUUUCUAUUUUCUUCAAGCUUUCUUCUCUUCUUGCCCUGGCGGUUCUUACAUCAAACACCGAUUCAAAUGUCGCUCCAACUACACCAAUUCUUUCUCUCCUUAUGCUGCUUCUCAUCUUCAGGUGACUUCAUUGCCGCUGGUUCCCCCUCAACCGACAACGAAAUUAACGGUUGAAAACUACUUAGUGUGGAAACAUUUUAUGAUUGCAACCUCAACUUCUAACCGUGUGAAUCGGUUCGUGUUAGGACAACAACCUCAACCUCAACUUCUAACCGUGUGAUGACAACAAGUUUAUUAAUCAAGUCAAUUUGGCUUAUCUUGGAUGGGAAGAGGUUGAUCAAGCUAUUUUCUCAUGGAUUAUGAACACUUUACCGGAGCGCCUUCAGCGUAGAGUCGUUGGAUGGGUGGAGCUUGACUCCUUAUGUAAUUCUCAGACGAAGCUCAAAGUAGGCAAUUACGUUCACAACUUGGCUAAAUCUCUCAAGGUUCGAGUUCAAUUGCACAAUUUCUCUCAAAUAUCAACCUGUGAUAACCUCUAUGGAGAUUCAAUCAGAUACUCCUACUCUUCACAAUCUGGAAUCGUUUCUAUUGACCUUCGAAUAUGGGUUUGUAAAGAACAUGCAGAAAGUCAUUUCCGAUGCAUUAUCUAUUAAUGUAGUCUCAGAUUCUCUAUCUUCAAUUAAACAAAUAUCUUCCCAGUUUGGUAAUUCCAUGUCUCCUUCAUCUCAUUAUCCUACAAGAUAUGAAUUGAAUCCUUAUCAGGCUGGUUUUGGUGGUUCGGGUAAUUUCAAAGGCGAUAGAGGAUGUCAUGGAGGUCAUAUUCGAGGAGCCAAAGGUUUUCAAUCGAUUUACCUCAACGUAUUUUGAGUAUUGUAACCAGAAUGGACAUGAUAUUAAUGUGUGCUAUUAUGCACCCCCAAAUUUUGGGGAUGGAUCUUCUUAUGGACAUGAUCCCUACCAAUCACUUGAUAGUCAACCUCUCUAUGGUUCAUGAACCACUGAAGAAUUUCAACCAUGAUCAAAUUUACAUGGGUAAUGAAACUUAUAUCAUUUUCUUAUGUUGGAAAUUCCAAUUUUUCUCCAUAUUAUAAUCUGAAUAUUUCCUUUUCACUAAACAACCAAUAAGUGUAUCACAAUUUGCUAGGGAUAAUUCAUGUUAUAAUAGUGAUGCUUUACUUCAAAGGUCUCUAACCAAGGAAGGCCUUUAUGUCUUCCAUGGUCUGCUGUAAAGUUCAAAGUCAUUUUAUAUCUUGUUUGUUGAACUCUAAUAAAGUUUCUUGUAAUAAACCUAUUGAUUUUUUUAUUUGACAUUAUAGAUUAGGGCACCC